This 925-nucleotide long non-coding RNA is filed under the name Capra hircus (goat). RNAcentral describes it as "lncRNA (ENSCHIG00010030419.1)". Lineage: Eukaryota; Metazoa; Chordata; Mammalia; Artiodactyla; Bovidae. The record is from RNAcentral.
AACUCUGGGGGACAGUGAAGGAAGUGGGGCCUAGUGUGCUGCAGCCCACGGGGUUGCAAAGAGUCAGAAGUGACUUAGUGACUGAACAACAGCAACGAUACUUUUUUUUAGGUGUGUCUCUUUUAAAAAUCCCUAUCUUUAUUUUUUAAUUGAAAUAUAAUUGCUUUACAAUAUUGUCUUAGCUUCUGUUGUACAAUGAAGUGAAUCAACUACAUGUAUACAUACCUCCCCUCCCUCUAGGAAUUUCCCUCCCACCCCACACUUACCCCACCCAUCUAGAUCAUUUUGGAUAUAUUAGGUUACAUAAAAUGUAUUGUUAAAAUUAAUUUUGUUUCUCUUUACUUUUUACAUAUAGCUAUUAGAAAAUCUAAAAAUUACAUGUUUGGCUCUUUUUAUAUUUCUAGUGGACAGCACUACUGUUCUAAUGGAUUCUGUCAUGUUAAUGAACACUUUAGAUAUCAACACUGAAUUCUAUUUUAUCCCCAUAGGAAGAUUAAUCAAUAGUAUACAUUGGUUUCAAGUUUUCACUGAAGAGAAGAGCCAGAAAGAAAGGAAUAUUUAUGGAAUUUUAACUCCUGCAACAAUCCUGUGGGGCAGACUUAUCAUCUCCAUUGACUGAUGAGGAAACUGAUAUGUGGGUUUCCAAGAAGUUGCAUCAGCUGCUCACAUUUGCAUGGUGAGCAAUACAAGGUUAGAAAUGGAUUCAGUAUCUUGUGACUUAAAAGCCCAUUUAACCUUGCUGCUCCUUCUGCUUUGUUUCCCAGAGAAAAUGUGAGAGGAAGAACACUGUGUGGAAAGAAGAAUUGUGGGCCUGAAACAUAUUUCACACCCAAAGAAAUAGCGGGGAAAAAAAGGUCAAAUCCAUUCUUUUACCUCUGUCUCAGGAAUGAAAAAGUCAAUUUUUAAUUAUAUGGGUAAGGUUGAC